Antechinus flavipes (yellow-footed antechinus) is the source of this 15965-nucleotide long non-coding RNA. RefSeq lists it as uncharacterized. The transcript is spliced from 2 exons. The record is from RefSeq and is a predicted model, not a curated record. Lineage: Eukaryota; Metazoa; Chordata; Mammalia; Dasyuromorphia; Dasyuridae.
UCCAGCUCUAGAUCUAUGAUCUAAGUUAAAGUUGAUUUGAACAAAAAGGCUUGGGGGGGGGGGGGAGGAAGGGGAAGGGAAGGGGGAGGCAGAGUUGAGCUGGCUCAGAAGAUGCCAUCUCCCUUCUGAAAGCCAACCCUUAAAGAAAGGGCUUCUUAGGGAGGCAGUUGUUGAUUUGUGUCUGACUCAGUGACCCCAUUUGAUUUUCUUUGGCAAAGAUAGUGGAGUGGUUUGCCGUUUCCUCCAACUCAUUUUGCAGACGAAGAAACGGGCCAAUAGUGUGAAGUGACCCAGGUAGAUGGCCACAUUUGAACUUGGCAAGCUGGGUUUUCUUUGUCUCCAGGCCCGCCCCCAGGGAGACAGGAGGGAAUAGUGAAAAGGACCCUACAUUUGGGUCCCAGCUUUCCCAUUUGCUAGUUUUGUAUUGUUGAGCAAGGUAGUUCAGUUCCGUGGGCCUCGGUUUUCCUGUUUCUGUUUGAUUCCAACUCUGGUGUUUGUGAUCUCAGCAGCCGAUGGCUCAAUGCUUUCUGUAAAUGGGUGGGGCCGUGCCUGUCCUAAAUCAGCCUCCUCUCCAGAUAGUUGACAUGAAUCCAAGCUUUUCAAAUGCGGUGUGGUCUAUGAAAAGUAGGCUCUGCACAAGGAACCAGGCCAGUAUUUCCUGUUUCAGUGGGGGGGUGGGGGUGGGGCCCAAACCAAAGCCUUUUCGGGAUUCACCCGCCCGCCCUAGGUCACUUUGCUCCUGGAAGCACGGCUCAACCUUUGCCUUUGCUCUGGAAGCCCCGCCCCAUGCCUCAGGGAUGCACCUUUGGUCCAAUGGGGCUGGAUUCGCAUUUGACCCCGCGGUCCCAUUCUCCACCCUUUGUCUCUAAGACAUUUUGGCUACUGUCUAGCUUGUUUUCAGACGUUCACGGCUCUUUAACUCCCUGGUAAAUGUGAGCAAGCUACUGGAGACGCGGUGAUAUGCUCAGAGGAAGACCUCUGAAGCGCUUAGCACAUGUGCCUGAAUAGAGUGGGCCCUCCUGAAAGAUUAGUUGAAUUGAGCCUAUAGGCUCCACUGGAAAUGCUUUGGUUGGGUGACCCCUCCAAGAUCAUACUGGUCCUAGCGGCUGCCUGUUGGACGCAUCCCAAACUUCCUCCUAAAUUUGACUCACUCCUUUUAAUAGACUGGGGAUUGGCACUGGAUGAGACUGCCACGUGACCUGUUUACCACACCCAAAGGCCUGUGUCCAGCCCUCUUCCUGCUGGCAGCUUUUAACAUUGUGGACCACACCCUCUUCUUGGUUUCUGUUCCCCUUGAAAACUUCUAGCCUCCUAGUUCCCUCCUCCUACCCUGCUCUGACGACUUCCUUUCCCGUCACUUGGUUCCACUUCCUCUUCCUGAUUUUUCAAUGUUUCCUCUGAAGCCUGUCUAAAGAAGUCAGGAAACAUUUACGGAAGUGCUUACUGUGUGCCAAAUUUUCUCUCUUGAUCCUGGGAAGUGGAUGUUGUGAUUAUCCCCAUUUUAGAGUUGAAGAAACUGAGGUACAAGUUAAGUGACUCCCUAAGGUCAUACAUAGCUAGUAAAUGUCUGUGGCUGAAUUUGGAUUCAGGGUUUUUCCGAUCUCCAGGCCAGGCACUCCUAUCUACCGUACUCCCUGACUUUCCCUCAGCUUUCUCUUCUUUCCUUACCCGCUUUCCUCUAGUAAUCUCAUUCACUGGCAUGGCUUUGGCUGCCACCUUUUUGUGAUUCUUUAGAAAUCUCCAGCCUUUACUUCUCUUUUGAGCUGCAGACUCUCACAUCCAACUGUCUCCAGGAUGUGUCUCCUUGAAAAUUGAACCAGCACCUCAGACUUAGCACAUCCGAAACCAAGCUCGUUAUCUCUCCUGCUUUCAAACCUCUUCCCCCCUCCUCGUUUUACUAUAUCCAGAUUCCACCCUGAUUUCUGGGUUCAUAACCUUGAUAAUAUUAUCUUUAUUCUCAUCUGUCUCAUUCUAGUUAUUUGUCAAGACUUGUCAGUUCUAAUUUCCCAAUAUCUCUUCUAUCCGUCUGUUCUCUAUUCCCAUUGUCACCUCUCUACUUCAUUGCCACACACUGGUCCAAUUGCAAGAGCUUCUUUACCUUCUUACCCUCACUCCACCACCUCCCUCCCAUUUGCCCCUCCUGAAUCAUCUAGCUAAUCUGAAUAACUUACUGGUCAUGACCAAAAUGGUCAGUGGCUUUCUGUUGUCUCAAACUCUCUUUUCCCAGCAUCCUAGACCCUUCACAAACAUUUCUGUCAGUCAUAUUCUCAGCCCUUUGUGCCUUUGCUUGUAGUGUUCUGCAUUCUGUAAUGGCCUACCUUCCUAUCUGCUCUUGGCAAACUCCUCCCUAUCCCGUCCCCAAGUCAGAUAAUUCUUCCUCCAUGAUGCCUUCCCUGACUAUCUCGGGUGAGAAGGACUUUAUCCCUCAGACCCCACUCCGCAGUAUUUUAUACCUUUGUAACGUACUUUACCAGGACAGCUAGAUGGCACAGUGGGUAAAAGGCCAGGCCUGGGAGAAUCCUCUUGUUGCUUCAGAUACUGACUACCUAUUUGAACCUGGGUGAGUCACUGCACCCUGUUACCUCAGUUUCCUCAUCUCUAAAAUGAACUAGAGAAGGAAAUGGCAAACCACUAAAAGAUCUUUGCCAAGAAAGCCCCAAACGGGGUCACGACAAGUCAGACACAACUGGAGCAACUGAACAAAUCAUUUAGCGCAUGCUAGUGUGCAUUAUUAUUGGACUUGGGUUGUUAGCCCUUUCCUGAACUAGAACCAUCCCCUAGCUAAAUUUGAAAGUUCUUCCAGUGCCUGCCCCCGUGUGCUGCCUGUUUGGUAAUGAAUAUCUGUUGAUUCGUUGCUCUAUAUUGCUGAGAGAAUCGGCUUCAGAGAACAUGAGACCACUCCUCAAGCUCAUGGGGCAGCUCUCGUCUUCUCCCCGCCUUUUCAUUUUACAGCUGGUGCUAGAAAGAUAGUAAAGACAAGAGCCAGAACUCCGGGAAGUAAGGAAAGAGCAGGACCCCAUCCCCCCUACCCCCCCACAGAGCCAAAAAAUCCAGGCCUGGAGUCUUAGCUAGGACUCCUGAGCCUUCUGGGCUUCCAUAUAAUCUUCAAAGGGACACAGGCCUACUCCGCUGACCUUCUGCCCUGUUAAUGAAGCAGAUGUUCUAGGAAAGUGAGAUAGGAUGUAGUGAGCGCGCCAAUGACUUACUCCAGUGACAGAUUCUGCCUGGAAACUCCCUACAGGUAGGGACUGCCUUCUGUCUGCUAGACAGAUGGGUGCAGAUGCAAGAGAUACUGGAAAUAGACUCAAUAAGGUGACUUCUGAGUUUAUAGGGGUGAGUGGGACCAUGUAGUGAAUGAGAGUGAGGGAAAAGUCAUGGAUGACUCCAAGAUUGUGAAACUGGUCGAGUGGAAUGAUAGUUCUAAGAAAGUUCAAAGGAGACGUGGGCUUAAGGGAAGAUGCGUUCUUUUUUGCACAUGUUGAGAUUGAGGUGCUUAUAGGAUAUUGGUGCUGUACUAUUAGAACUUAAGAAUGAUGAAGGCUGGAGGGUUAUCUUGGCGAGAUGACGACUGAAUUUUGAACCUCUCUGUGGAGGUGAUGAGAUAACCAGGAGAGACGUUAGAAAGAAAAGAGAAAGUCCCAGAAGGAUUCGUUGGAGGACCCCCUCAUGAUAGAGCAGGACAUGGUGGCAAGCUGGCAAAGGACCCAAGAAAUAGAAGAAUCAAAAGAGAGCAAUGUCACAAGUGGCAGAGGAGAAAAUAAUUCUAAAGAGGGAAGACGGGAGAGGGGAAAUGGUCAGGAGUUUCCAAAGCCGCAGAGUGGUCGGUUAGUAAGAGUGAAGGCCGAAGACAGGGCAGUGGAUUGAGCAGUGAAGAGUGAUUCUCCAUAUCCCUCACUGUCUUUGCAGGGAAGAGUUUUACUGAGUGCCAAGUUUGGAAGUUGAAUUGCAGGAAGUUGAGGAGUGCGGAAAGGAAGGUGUGGUUUGUUGUUGUUUUUUCUAGAAGAUUGGCUGUGAAAUGUAGAGAUACAUGUAGACCAGUGCCCGUGUUCUCAAGAUCAGGCAUGGCUGGUCCAGGUUAAUAGGUACAGGAACUUGGGAAGCUCAGUGCUCUUCUUCACCCACCAUCACCAUCUCCACUUGUCUCUAUCCGAAAGCUUCCAUUUCUCCUUUUCCAGCGAGGGAUGCCUGGCCCUAAGUAGGAAGUGCUAAAGGGCAGGGUCCUUCUGCUUGGGUUUCAAAGUGGGGGCAAUGGGGAUUUACCCUCCGACCCGAUCCAGGCCUGAGCUUUCUUGUUUCCGUGACGAGGAUUGGCAGGGAAUGAAAGAAAGGAGCAGAAUGCAAAUGCGUAAAAGAACCCCAGGUUUCCCUUAGGGUCUCCUCUUUGCCGGUCUGCUUGUAACAGGAUGCACCCUUGUUGUGCCCAUAAAGUGCCCCUCUUGCUCUUCUUUACUUGAAUCAAGUUCUUAGUUCUCACUUGUUCAUCCCAGAGGGGCCGGGCAGGACAGGAGGGGCAAAGCAAACCCGUUCUUCCCCUCUCUCUUCUGUCCAGUGUGUCCCCAGGCAGGGGGGUUCAAAAUUGGGAGCUGCCUGCCAUUACCAUCCCCACCUGCCUCCUGAUCUAACUUGGGCUUAUGUGGGAAGCACCAAGAAUAUUGAACUCUUGAUUAGAAGUGAGACCUGAGUGGCCACUCUUACCUUUACAGAUUUUCUUUUGGGGAUCUUGGGAAGAGGCCACUGGGAUUUGAAGUCAGAGGACCUCAGAGAGUCAAAGAAGUAAAGGAUUCUGGGAAGACACCUUAGACCCUUCACAUCCAAGUACAAGAUGGGAAAACUGGGGCCCCUAGAAGAGUGACUUGGUCAAAGUCACACAACCAGCCAGCAACAGACUGAAUGCAAAGCCGUACCCUCAGAGGCCAAACUGAGUAUCUCACCAUUGGCACUUCUGGCUGCCUCUGGCAUCUCAUGAAAUGGGUUGCAAAAGACAAAGGUACGCCUCAUGCUAGAGCACUGGGACAUUAGUCAUCCACCCCACUCCUCGGGACCUUGACACCUGAGCUCCCGGAGGCGUGUGCCAAAUGAACAAAUGGCCCACAAUGGAGAACUCAGUCGUUUGUGCCAAUGUCCAGCAGUCAGGUGCUUCUCUCUUGCCUUUGUCCUCUGCCCUUGGUUUGCCCCGGUUUCAUCUUCCUCUUUUUGGGGCCCCGCAAAGCACUGGGGAGUGUUGAAUUGGAGCCUGCCUUUCAUACCUCGGCUCCUUAAUCUCCAGCCCAUCCUCAGACCCUGUAAGCAUCUGGUCUGCCCCCUCAGCCCGUGUUGACCAAAAUCUGAUCAGUAAGCCAGAAUUACCACUUUGAGGGCCUGCCUGAUCCUGGCCCUCAAGAGUAGCCUGAUGCUGUAUCCCUGGGGCACCACAGCCUCUUCUCUCUAACCAGGUAUAAUCUCUGCUGAAGCUACCUAGGCUGGUGAAGCCUUAUGGCCACUCUUUAAGCAUACUGAUCCGGCUCAUUCUUUGAGCUUGGGAGUCCCCAGCCCCCUCCAGAAGGGAGGCCACACUUCAUCUUCAGUCCCAACUUCCUGUUCCUUAAGCCCUGAGCUCUUCCUGAAGUACUUAUUAGCCAGGACUUGCUUCUGCUCUUGAGUUAGUCUUCAGUGGCUUCAUUUUCCAAGUAGGAAGUGGUGGGCCCAGAUGCUGCAGCUCCUUCCUCCAUCCCCACAUCUGGAUGCUGUCCUGGAAGGGGCUUCUCAUAUCUCUCCAUUUGAGUCCGGCCUGAUUUUACCAUCUUGCUACAUUCCCUUUUUAUUUCUCGGGUGUGGCGGUGUUCUUGCCAUUUGCAGAAUUAGAGAAUUGUAGUUGCCGUGGGCUUUGUUUUCUCCUCCGCGUUGAUUCAGGGAGAUCUUUCGAGGCUUCUCUGUAGUCAUCACACACAUCAUUUCUUAGAACACGUAUUCCGUUCCAUUCACGGACCGCGCUUCGUCUAGCUAUUUUGAUUCCGCUUCUUUGCUAUCAUAGAAAAUGCUUCCAUAAUUCUUGCUGCGUAUGAGGGCUUUCUUCCUAUCAGUGGCUUCCUUGGAGUAGAAGUCUAGUAAUGGAGUCUGCAAAUCAAAGGGGUAUGGAUAGUAUGGUUAUUUUAUUUGCAUUAUUCCAGAUUGCUUUCCAGAUUGUACCAUCUCAUACCCCCGCCAGCAGUGCUCUAGUCUGCCGAUGCUGCCCCACCUCCUUCAAGCCUGACUUGUCAUUUUUGCCAUCUGAUAACUUUCAGGGUGUCAGGGAAAACCUUGGGGUUCUUUGUGAUGUGGACUUACUCUCUUCCCCAGUCAGGAAGAAGCCCAUGUGGCUGUUAUCAGGCAUAGCCAAUUCCCAGACUCUCCUGGUUAUGUAACGUGAUGGUGAAGAUGGAAGUUUUUGUCAUCCUCCAUUGUCCAUCCCCUGAUCUCUGAGUAGCUUUAAUCAACCUUUGAGAUGUCAAUUAGCAUCUCUGAGACAGGUCUGGGACCUGAUCUGCCAGCUAUUCCAUCUGGCUCCCUCUUGAUUCUUCCCUCUGAGCCUCCUGGCACUUCCCCUCUUCCUUUGAGAAACCCCCAAGGUUGUAUUUUCCCUAUAAAUUCAAGUAUGAGACAGGUCUGGGACCUGAUCUGCCAGCUAUUCCAUCUGGCUCCCUCUUGAUUUUUCCCUCUGAGCCUCCUGGCACUUCCCCUCUUCCUUUGAGAAACCCCCAUGGUUGUAUUUUCCCUAUAAAUUCAAGUAUGAGACAGGUCUGGGACCUGAUCUGCCAGCUGUUCCAUCUGGCUCUCUCUUGAUCCUUCCCUCUGAGCUUCCUGGCACUUCCCCUCUUCCUUUGAGAAACCCCCAAGGUUGUAUUUUCCCUAUAAAUACAAGUACGCAUGGUGGAGAUCUUUGUGUAGAACUAAGCCCACUACGAGGUACUCUCUCUCUACCCCUCCUAGUGGCUUCCCUUCACUAGUGUCUUUCUCCUUACUAUGUAGCUAACUCUGGUUAGUCUGCUCUGUGGAUUUAACCUGCCAGUCGAUAGCGUUCUCCCACCCUGUGGCGUAUUCCUUUAAUGGAUUCUUCCAAACUCCUUUCCUUGGUCCCUUCCUCGGUAACCCUAUCACGCUCCCAAAUCUAUUUCCGAUUUGCCACUUCUUGUGUCUUAUUUUACCUCUUAUUUUGUCUGCAACCUCUUCUCCCAAAUAAAUUUACCUUUUGACAAAGAGAAUGGCUUUUGUGAAUUUGGCCCAUGUUCAUUUCGAACUAGGAAUUGCUACCCAGUGAUUGCAUUUCUCUUCUUAGUGCUUGGGAGCAUUCUUUCGUGGGCUGUAAAGAAGUUGUGGGUCUUCCUUUCUAAACUGUUCGGUACCAUCUUUUCAGUAGGAAAACAGCCUUGAUUUGUUCAAUUUCUGUAGAGCUAGGAAGACCAGAAAGACAAGAAGAUGGUAAGUGCCUGACCAUCUGCAAACGGUUAGGCUUCUUAGUAAUUCGGCAAUGGUCAAAAGGGUAACAGUGUCUUGAAUGUUAGAACUUUUGAAUCUGAUGCUUUUUUUUCUUUAUGGAACUAUUUCCAAAGCAAAUUGUAUGUUUCUUUUCCAUAGGCUAUGAAUUUAAGGAAUUCUACAACUACAGAUUUAGAAUUGGAAGGGAUCUUCAAGGCCAUCUGGUGGGACCUUCGAGGCCAUCUGGUGGGACAUUCGAGGCCAUCUGAUGGGACCUUCGAGGCUAUCUGGUGGGACCUUUGAAAUUAUCUAGACAGACGAGACCAAGAGAGGAAAAGUGGCUUGCGCAGGUUCUCACAAUUAGUAAGCAUCAGAAUCAGAAUCUGAACUCAGGGCAUUUGGCUUCAGAUCCAGAGAACUUUCUAUCGCCCUGCCAUCCUUUGACAAAAUCCAUUGUACUAAGAGGCGAAGCUAAUUCUGGACUGUAAAGCUCUUGUUUCUUCUCUCUUUUCCUCCACUAUUAGUUUCUCCCUUUUCUAAUCUAUCCUUUACAUUACUUCCAAGUUAAUAUUCCUAAAACACAAGUCUGAUUUUGUCACUCUCAUACUUAAAAAAAAAAAAAAAAUCCUGAAGUGGCUUCCUGUUAUCUCUAGGAAAAACUACAUACUCCUCAAUCUAUCUUUACCGCUGAAUUUGGUACUGCUUUUUUUUGCCCAAUCCACGUUCCAGCCAAACUGAACAACUUCCUUUUCCCAAAGUGGACAUUUCAUCUCCUUCCCCCUCCCCUUUGCAGAGGCUGUACCCCAUGUUUGAGACACUCUUUCCUUACCUCUUAGAAACCCUACUUCUUUCGAGAUUCAGGUCAGCUGCCAACCUUCUAAGUAAGGCCUUCCCGGAUUCCUCCAGUUGUUGUUGCUCUGUCCCUCCUGAAACUACCUUCUAUUUGCUCAUCUUGCAUAUAUGUUCUAUUCCUCCAUGGAAAGGGCGCUCAGUUAAGGCAGGGACUAUUUUUAGAACACCUCAGCGUCUGGCACACGUAGUAAACAUUUGUUGAGUUGAGCUUCUCCCAUUUGCCUUUCUCCUUGAAAUCCACGAUCUCUCUUUCCAUUGUAGCCACCUUAUCAAACUGCAUUCUUGUUCUGGACUCCUAAGUGGUUCUGAAGAGAGUCUUGAGACUGCCUCAACUGAAUUGACUCUAAAUUCAUGCCAUCCAGCUGGGUCUCUCUACCAGCAGCAUUAUUUCUCAGCUUUAUGCCCCCUUCCCUAGACUCCCAAAUCCCCUGGCUCUCAGCAGGUGACUUCCCGUCCUGCUUUCCUGAGAAAAAGGAAGGCGUUCAGUGGAAGCUGUCUUAGCUAACCUUCAUCUACUCUUUCUUCAUUCUCUUCUGCCUCUAGGCAAGAAAUGGCUAACCUCCUUGAUCUGUGCCCUUGAUCUCAGUUCUUCCCACGUAGGGCUCAGAGAAUGGCUUUCUCUCUUUCUUUCAUCUUCUGUCUCUCCCUCUUGACCACUUCCUUUCUGAAUGUCUACAAUGUUCUGAUCAUAUCCUGUCCUAAAAAAAAAAAAAAAAUUGCCUUCAUAUCUGUUACUCUCCCAAACCAUGAUCCAAUUUCCUUCUCUUCAUUCCCGCAUUUAUACUUCCCCAUGCUUUUAUUUUUCCCUUGUUCCACAUAUUAUUUACUUCUUCCUGGCAUUUAUUUUCUCUCCUUUACACCUAUCCCCACUACACUGAAAAAAAACCAAAAACACAGAAACCAAUCCCUCAUAACAACUGCCUAGUCAAGCAAUACAGUUUCCUCCAUUGGCUGUGUCCAAAAAUGCGUGUCUUAUUCAAUACCCUGAUUCCAAUACCUUACUGUCCAGAAGUGGGUGACAUGUUUCAUCACCAGUCCUCUGGAAUACCUAUUGGUUAUUUCAUCGCUCAGAUUCUUCAGUCAUCCAGAGUUGGUUGUUUUUACAAGGUUGUCUUUGAAUAGAUCACUCUCCUGGUUCUGCUUACUUCUCUCUGUGUCCGUUUAUACAAGUCUUCCAAGAUUCUUUGAGACCAUUGUGCCUUUUUAUAAUUUCCUAAAGGACAAUAGUUUUUCCAUUACAUUUGUAUAUAAUGAUUUAUCUAUCCAUUCCCAAGAGGGGCAUCCGUUCAGUGUCUGGUUCAAUGCCAGUACUAAAAGAGCUUCUAGAAACAUUUUUGUCUAUGUAGAUACAUUUCUUAUUUGAUCUCUUUGGGGUAAUAUUUAUGGUUCAAGGGAUAUGCAAUUUAGAGACUUUUUGGACAUAUUUCCAAAUUGAUUUCUGAAAUGAUAGGUCUUUUGAUCCAUAGCUCUACCAAUAAGGCAUUAAUGUGAUCAUUUUCCCACAGUCCUUCCAACAUUUGUCAUUUUCUGCUUUUUUUCAUCUUCACCUAUCCGAUACCUGUGAAGCAGGAACUUAGAGUUAUUUUCAUUUGAAUUUGUCUAAGUAAUUUAGAGCCUUUUUGACGUGCCUGUUGCUAGCGUGAAUAUCCUUUGUUUAUCAUUGAAGAAUGGCUUAAAGGUUUUGAAAAUGAAACCUUUAGCAGAGAAACUUGCUGCCAAAAAAUUUCCCUGGUUACCUUUCUCUCUUCUAAUUUUAGCUCAUUGGUUUGAUUUGUGCAAAAAUGUUAAAUUUUAUGUAAUCAAAAUUGGCUAUAUUCCUCCUGUAAAUGUUUCUUACAAGAUCUUAUUUGAUGAAUUCUUUGUUUAUCCAUAGUUCCAAAACGAAAUUUCUUCCUUGCUUCUCUAAUUUGUUUAUAAUAUAACCUUGUAUGUUUACGCCAUUUUGGAGCUUCCAGGCUGCCUUCUAAUUUCCCCAACAGUAUUUGAAAAUUUUGGUAUUAUUUUUUCAAAUUACAUGUAACAACAAUUUUAACCUGCUUUUAAAAAAGUUUUGCCUUUCAAAUUCUUUCUCUUAUUCUCCUUUCCCUAUCCUGAGAUGGUACGCAAUUAGAUAUAGAUUAUACAUGUGCUAUCAUACAAAAUAUAUUUUCAUAUUAGCCAGCUUGCAAAAGAAAACAUAGACCAAAAAAAAAAAAAAAAAAGAACCCCAAGAAAAAUAAAAUCGUUUGGUUUUUUUUAAAGUAUGCUUCACUCUGAAUUCAGACUCUUGCUUCAUCAGUUCUUCCUCUGGAGAUGGAUAGCAUUUUCCAUCAUGAAUUUUUUGGAAUUGUCUUGGAUCAUUAUAUUGCUGAGAGUAGUAAAUUAUUCCCAGCUGAUCAUCACACAAUCUUGCUGUACAAAGUUCUCCUCUUUCUCUGCUCAAUUCACUGUGCAUCAGUUCACAUAGGUCUUCCCAGGUUUUUCUGAAGGUAUCCUGCUCAUCAUUUCUCAUGGCACGGUAAUAGUCCAUCACAAUCGUAUGCCACAGCUUGUUCAGUCAUUCCCCAGUCACUGGGUGUUCUCUCGAUUUUCAAUUCUUUUGACACCAUAAAGAGAGUUGCUAUACGCUUUUUUAUACUUUGCUCAAAUCUUCGCGGCUCAUUAUUUAGGUUUUCAUGGCCUAAAAAGAGUAUAAAUUAUAAUUGUUUUCUGAGGGUUUUCCCCUCCCGGAUUGAUAUUUUUGUGAUGGCAAAUUAGGCCUUCUUUUGUCUUACUGCUUAUCCAGUCCUUAGCCGUUGAGUAGAAGUAGUCUCAGACAAACUAUGAUCUGAGAAGGAUUUUGAUUUAGAAAGGCCACGAUCAUCCACCGUAGUCCUGGCUAUCUCCAGUGUCUUGAUUUUUGUCUUAUUACUGGACUUCAAAGACUGGAGGAGAGUCAGUCUGAGGACUACUGCUCAAUCUCACUUCAAUCCAAUUCACACACAAGUUCAGACAUCACCCUGGUAAUAUCAUUUGGUUUUUUUCCCGGAAUGAACAAACAACUGCAACAUUUUAUUUAAAACUUUUCGCAACAAUAUCCAUUAGGAAAAUUGCUCUGUAGUUUUCUCUCUGUAUUUUCCCCCUUCCUGGUUUAGAAAUAAGUAACAUAUUUGUAUCUUAGACUCCUUUGCCUAUUUUUCCAGACAGUUUAGAAAUCAGUAACAUAUUUGUAUCUUAGACUCCUUUGCCUAUUUUUCCAGACACUUUAUAUCGUAUUAGGAUGAAUUGUUCUUUAAGUGUUUAUUAGAAUUUGCUUGUGAAUCCUUCUGGUCCUGGGUAUUUUUUCUUAAAGAGCUCAUUUAUGGCUUGUUCUAGGAUAGGAUUACUUAAGUAUUUUCUCUUCUCUUUCUAUUUUUUCUAUUUUCUCUUCUGUCAAUCUGGGCAACUUAUAUUUUCGUAAAUAUUCAUCCACUUAGAUUGUCAGAUUUCUUGACAAAAUCUUUUGAACAGAAUAUCCCUGAUAAUUGCUUUAAUUUCAUCUUCAUUGGUGGUGAAUUCAUCCGUUUCUUUUUUAUUACUAGUAACUUGGGUUUUUUCUUUCUUUUUUAAAAAUUAAAUUAACCAAUGGUUUGUCUAUUUUAUUGGGGACUUUCCCAUAAAACCAGCUUCUAGUUUUCUUAAUUCGUUCAGUGGGUUUUUUUGUUUUGUUUUGUUUUUAAUCUUGAUAUGAUCGUAACCACCAGGCUACCUGGUCCAGGAAAUAAUCACCUUAGGAAUACAGGCUUUGGGAAUGAUAUAGUAUAGGCUCCAAGUUAUCUGACUUAAGAAUACUGUAUCUGCCUUUAGAUAAUUUUGUCUUAGUUUACAUUUUAUUACCAGCUAUAUCGGGGUGCCUGGAGUGAGAUGCCUAAGCUAACCACUCCCCAACUUUACCUCUAAGAUCAGUGACAUAAAGGACCUGGUUUACUUUUCCUAUAAAAGUCCCUUCUUAUACCCCCAUUUCUUUACUAAUUCCCUUUUGGAGCUUAUUCUACCAUCAGUGGUGUUACAAUAAUAAAGUCUUUGCCUCUCGAUUUGGAGGUGAUUCUUUUGAAGUAUCUCAUGACACCGGCCCAAGCACUCCGAUAUUGUGGAGUUGACACUCCUGCACCCCACCAUUUGGUGGUCCAUAAGGGAAAAAGUCUAGCUUUGCUUGCUUCCUCCACUUUUUCUUUUCCCUCCUUCUAUCCUGUAGCUAGGACACCCCUAGCAUCCAGGAAGACUUAUUGAGGUCAUCAGUAAGUUUUAUGCUCAGCAUGCUUUCCUUGGUUAGGGAUACCUGAUCUUAGGGGUACUUUUGGUUUUGGCACACUUGCCACUUUUCACCUUCCCUGGGAAACCAAGGGAGAUAAGUUGCUAUAGGAAUAGAAACUCUUUAGGGCUUGUGGCAAAAAUGGGACAGUCCAUUCCCAUCCCUAAAAAAGCAGAGACAAAUUUGGCAUAUAAGAUCUCAAAAAGACAAGGCUCAUUUUCUUUUGUAACACUGCCUGGCCUCAGUCUACCCCGGAGGCUCAGGAAAAAAUGGCCUGUCAAAAGGUUUCUCGUGUUUUUUUUUUUUUAAUUAGUAUUUUAAUUGAAUGUUUUGUUGUUCUGUCUAUGUCUGUGUCUCUGUGUUUGCAGAGGUCUAUGUCAUGUUUGUGCUGUGAGCUAGAUUGUUACCUUGAAAGAUUUCAAAUGAAGCCAGUAAAAGGGAGAAAAAACUUCUAAGGGCUACACUUAGAACACUGGGAAAAAUUUAUUAACAUUACUAACUUCUCCCAAAAAAGAAAAAGCCUUCGUGGCCCCAACAGUAGCAAAGUUGAGGCUACGGAAAUAAAGCUCUAUAAUUAAAGUUGGAGGGACGUACAUCCUAGCAAAUAUUGGAGGUUUUGUGAUAAAGGAAACUGACAAUUAGAAACUUUAAGAUUACGGGAAAGAAUUCCUUUGACUAUGGGGUGAUUUCAGGAAUUCACCUCCUUCUGAAACUUCUUAAUAAAAUUUGAGAUGCCAUUCUGUACAGUUUUUCUUAAGGAAAAAUAAAGAUUAGAUCUUACAGAAGUUGAAAAGGAUUUGAAAAGAAACUGACAAAAUUAAAAUCAUUACAGCCCACGUCCCUUUCUUAACCCCUCUCAUCUCAUACUCGAUUAGGAAAAGAGAAUGCUGGAGAAUUGUAGAGAAACUUAAAUUAUGCCUCACCUGGUAGAAACGAGGGAGGCAGUAACCGCAACAAGGCCUCACACUUCCUGCCCUAGUAGCUCUCCAACUCCAGCACCUGCAACUGGGCAGGAAGUCGGGUCGGGUCUUACAGUCAGCAUUCUCUGAUUCCCGACACCUGGAACUACCGCCAAAGGGAGAUUCUGGCACCGCCCACCCCAGCCCUCAGCAGGUUCCACCCAGCUGUUGCUUGGGAGAAUCCAGGUAUUCCUGGCAGCACCUAGUGUGGCAGAGGUGGGGGAGACAGCCAGUCUGUCCUUGGUAAGCCCACCAUUCUAUGUUCCAGUGAUUUAUUAGCUGUGUUAUCUCUAUUUGCCCUAGUACGAAAUCAGGAUUUGAAAAAAGAAACAGAACAAAAAGGAGGGCAAAUAUGGUUUUAAUUUGGAAAAAAAAAAUUUUUUUAAAGUAUUAAAUAGUCAAUCAUGUCUUCUGUAAUCUAAUAAUGGGGUUUCUGCGUAGCUGGAACUCUAGCUACUGUUCCAGCAGGAACAUAAGUCACUUCGUUCUGUAAGGGGAUGAUAACUGAACCCACAUCCCAGGGUUUUUGUGAGGAUCACAUGACUGUAAAGUGCUUGCCCUGUGCAAGUGCUCUAUGAAUGUUAACUGUUUUCAUUAUGUCUUUUAUUUGAUGUGAUUGUGUCAUACUUGAUAACUUUCUAUGGGUUUUUAGAUGUGACCGACAUAUAUUACCAGUGUUGAGAUAAAUGAUUUUCUGUGUUAGGUAAUUUGGAAGUGCAUUCAAGUAAGUGAAGGUUGGUAAUUAAUGGAAUCCCAACCUGGGUUCCCGAGGCAUAGGAAGAUAGGGUGUAGAGGAAAAAGAGUCUCUUUCUCCUUCUCCUCCUCUCUCCCCCUCUAACUGCAGCAGGGGCUGGUGGACAAGAAAGAGAAAGAAAAUCAAGAGGCAGAUUUAGGGGGUAUCGGGUGAAAAUUCCAGGGUGAAGACCUCUCUCUGAAAUAAGAACUGAUACUUAAGCCCUUUCCUGGCUCACCCAAAAAAAAAAAGAGAGAGAGAGAGAGAGAGAAAAUGCCUGUGUGAAUUGGGAAACAGCCAAAAGGUGUGAUCAGAACAUUUAGCUAUAAUUUAGGGAUCUUACAAAUUAAAGUAGUGGUCAAUUUUAAAAUAAUUUUUUACAUUAGUAUGUGUGUUCAAAUUGAAAACUUGAUUGUAAAUGAUAAGAUUCCUACCCAGUUUUGUCAUAGAUUACAAUUUAUCUGAAUUUUAAGAAUCAUCUUGUUUUCUUCCUUAAAAAAAAAAAUUAAAAAAAAAAAAGGAAACCAAUUAAGGGAACAGGAGAGGGAAGCCCAAUCCCUCCUGAGAACUUCCAGAGUUGCAAUAGCUUGGGAAAAAGAAAAAAGCCCCCCAAUUGAAUCUUUCUGAGAUUGUAGCACCCAGAUUUGACUUGUCACCCAGCAACUUGAAUGUUAUGAAUUGUGUAACUAAAUGAAAGUGGAAAAUUUGUUUAAAACCUGUUGUGUUAUUUUGUCAACCCUGUUAACUCUGUUUUAUAGUGUUUUGUAAAUGCAAUUUAGGAAAUUGGAUAGUUUCACCUUUGCUUGUAAGUUUAGAGUAAGUUACUGCUAAGACAAUAUGUUUAUCACUUAUGAAAAUUAUAAGAUUGUUAAUUAAGUUACUUGGAUUUGUUGUAAUAAUGUAAAAUCUAAUAUUGGUGAUUGCUUCUCAUUCAAAGCACUUCAACUUGGGGUACGAAGGUCUACCGAAGAAUUAGUCUAUCCUCCACAUCCCCUCACAGGGUGAGGGAAGUGUCAAAGAGCACAAGCCAUAGCAACUGUCAUGGGCGUGCAAGAACAGCAGGCUCAGCCCCUUCUCUGGGUUCCCUGUUGAUUUUCCUUAAUUUAUAAACUUGCAGAUUUCUUUAAAGCAUCAUGUGAGUGAGGGUCAUCGGCCCUGAGAAAUGAGAUAGUUAAGGUUAUGGGGUUCCUAAACAAUGAGCUUGGCUUGAUAAAGAUUUGCAAAUGUCUUUGUUAUAUGGAAGAGAUUUCUAAUGAUUGGUCUUCACCAGGAUUAGUUUAAACUCUAGGAGAAGAAGAAAAGAAAAAUAAAGAUGUUAAGUGAAAUCUCUUAUGUGUGUGAGACCUGGUAAACUUUGUUAUAGUGCUAAGGCUAAUUUAAUCGGUUGUGUUGCGUCACCAUAACAAUGUUCUUAUUGUUUAAAGGGAUUCUGGGAGUAGUAGUGUAUAUUGAUGUUCCUUUGAACAUAGUUAAUAACUGAACAUUUGGAGGUUUUUUUUUUAAUACAAUUUCUAAUUUUACAUUUCUAUAUCCCAAGUCUGGUUGUUAAUCGAGCAUCAUUUGUAUAAUGUUGAAUUUAAAACCAUCUACUUAGCUUCAAGAUAAGUUGUGAAUUUUCUGGGAUGAAUCUCUUACUGCCAAUGCUUAUUAUUUAGGGGCAUGUGAUCCUUGAGAGCUGAACCCACCUGAAGUUCUGACUGAUGAGACUUGCUAUUUGAAAUAAAAUUUCUCGGGAUCGUAA